This 315-nucleotide ribosomal RNA is filed under the name uncultured bacterium. Its description in RNAcentral is "bacterial SSU rRNA". It matches the Rfam family "Bacterial small subunit ribosomal RNA", at positions 28 to 334 of the family's 1533-position model. The record is from RNAcentral.
GAUGAACGCUAGCGACAGGCCUAACACAUGCAAGUCGAGGGGCAGCAUGAAAUUAGCUUGCUAAUUUUGAUGGCGACCGGCGCACGGGUGAGUAACACGUAUGCAACCUGCCUGUAAGCGGGGGAUAACCCGGAGAAAUUCGGACUAAUACCGCAUAAUAUCAUUAAUUCGCAUGUUUUAAUGAUUAAAAAUUUAUUGCUUACAGAUGGGCAUGCGUAUGAUUAGCUAGUUGGCGGGGUAACGGCCCACCAAGGCGACGAUCAUUAGGGGUUCUGAGAGGAAGGUCCCCCACAUUGGAACUGAGACACGGUCCAA